Molecule: ribosomal RNA, 301 nt
Filed under: uncultured bacterium
Lineage: Bacteria
Description: partial 16S ribosomal RNA
Rfam family: Bacterial small subunit ribosomal RNA
Source: RNAcentral
CAGCAGCCGCGGUAACACGAAAGGUCCAAGCGUUACUCGGAAUUACUGGGCGUAAAGCGCGCGUAGGCGGUUUUGUAUGUCGAUUGUGAAAGCCCCGGGCUCAACCUGGGAACUGCAGUCGAAACUGCAAGACUUGAAUGUUGGAGAGGUUGGGGGAAUACCUAGUGGAGAAGUGAAAUUCGUAGAGAUUAAGUGGAGCACCAGAGGCGAAGGCGCCUGACUGGCCAAACAUUGACGCUAAGGCGCGAAAGCGUGGGUAGCAAACAGGAUUAGAUACCCCCGUAGUCCCUGUCUCUUAUAC